Molecule: non-coding RNA, 633 nt
Organism: Taeniopygia guttata (zebra finch)
Lineage: Eukaryota; Metazoa; Chordata; Aves; Passeriformes; Estrildidae
Source: RefSeq, a predicted model, not a curated record
GGCACCGCCGUACCCCGCGGGCAGGCAGGGGCACCCCGAGGGUGGGCAGGCACAGCUCCGUCCCUGAAAGCGCCCACGCUUGCACGGGGCUUGGAGCAGCCUGGUGUGGCUGGUGGGAGGUGUUCUUGCUUAGGAGCAAGGUGUACUUUGAGGUGCCCCCACCACCCAAACCAUUCUAUGGCUCUUAUUCUCUAAGAGUUUUCAAGAAUCCUUGGUGAAUAUUUCAUAGCCACAAAGAAAGUUUUCCCAAAGAAGGUAGACAAGCCCUGGAACAGCACCAAGAGCUUGUAGAGGUUGAGAAGGCCUCUCCAACCCAAGAGUUUUGUAGAGGUUGAGAAGGCCUCUCCAACCCAAGAGUUUUGUAGAGGUUGAGAAGGCCUCUCCAACCCAAGAGUUUUGUAGAGGUUGAGAAGGCCUCUCCAACCCAAGAGGUUGCAGAGGUUGAUGAUAACCAGAACUUGCCCACACAAAGCCCUCUGACGUGGUUUCAGAGCUGGCCUUGCUUUGAGUAAAGGCAGGUGAUAUCCAGACAUGCUUUCCUGCCUGAAUUGUUGCAGGAUUUUUUCCCUGUAUGUGAGUUUAAUGAGGACAGGUAAUUUUAGGAGAACUGGUGAUUUGGUCAUCAGAAAGAAA